GAUGAACGCUGGCGGCGUGCCUAAUACAUGCAAGUCGAGCGAACAGACGAGGAGCUUGCUCCUCUGACGUUAGCGGCGGACGGGUGAGUAACACGUGGAUAACCUACCUAUAAGACUGGGAUAACUUCGGGAAACCGGAGCUAAUACCGGAUAAUAUAUUGAACCGCAUGGUUCAAUAGUGAAAGACGGUUUUGCUGUCACUUAUAGAUGGAUCCGCGCCGCAUUAGCUAGUUGGUAAGGUAACGGCUUACCAAGGCAACGAUGCGUAGCCGACCUGAGAGGUGGUCCGGCCAACUUGGAAUGAGGCACGGUCCAAGCUCCCAAGGGGAGGAACCGUAAGGAAACUUUCGCAAAGGGCGGAAGGCCGGAGGGACAACGCCGGGGGGGGGGAGGAAGUCUUCGGGUCGUAAAAAUCUGGUUAUUGGGGAAAAAAAAUGGGGAAAUAACCAUGCACGUCUUGAACGUAACUAAUCAAAAAGCCAAGGGUAAAUUCGGGC
Molecule: ribosomal RNA, 497 nt
Filed under: uncultured bacterium
Lineage: Bacteria
Description: partial 16S ribosomal RNA
Rfam family: Bacterial small subunit ribosomal RNA
Source: RNAcentral